RNAcentral lists this ribosomal RNA (1183 nucleotides) under Rhea americana (greater rhea). Its description in RNAcentral is "16S ribosomal RNA". It matches the Rfam family "Bacterial large subunit ribosomal RNA", at positions 967 to 2878 of the family's 2925-position model. Lineage: Eukaryota; Metazoa; Chordata; Aves; Rheiformes; Rheidae. The record is from RNAcentral.
NNNNNAAAAAUUAGGAGCUAUUUAUAGGAGGUACAGCUCCUUUAAAAAAGAACACAGUCUCUGCCAGAGGGUAAACUAUUUUCCCACCCCACAUNUAGGCCUCCAAGCAGCCACCAAUAAAGAGUGCGUCAAAGCUCUCUACCCCAAAGAUCCAAAAACAUCGUGACCCCCUCACCCUUAACAGGCUAACCUAUGACUAUAGGAGUAUUAAUGCUAGAAUGAGUAAUUGGAAGCCCCUUCUCUUAAGCGCCAGCUUACAUUAUAUAUUAUUAACAGACCCACUCAUACCGCUACCAUAACAAGACCCAAUAUUAUAAUACCCUGUUAACCCGACUCAGGAGCGCUUUCUAGAAAGAUUAAAAUCUGCAAAAGGAACUAGGCAAAUCAAGGGCCCGACUGUUUACCAAAAACAUAGCCUUCAGCCAACAACAAGUAUUGAAGGUGAUGCCUGCCCAGUGACUCACGUUCAACGGCCGCGGUAUCCUAACCGUGCAAAGGUAGCGCAAUCAAUUGUCCCAUAAAUCGAGACUUGUAUGAAUGGCUAAACGAGGUCCUAACUGUCUCUUUCAGAUAAUCAGUGAAAUUGAUCUUCCUGUGCAAAAGCAGGAAUACGAACAUAAGACGAGAAGACCCUGUGGAACUUAAAAAUCAAGGGCCAACGCAUUAACCCACCUACCCAUUGGGCUUACUCCUCUGCGACACUGGCCCUCAUUUUUCGGUUGGGGCGACCUUGGAGAAAAAAGAAUCCUCCAAAAACAAGACCACAAAUCUUAACCUAGAGCCACAUCUCGAAGUGCAAACAGUACCCAGACCCAAUACAAUUGAUUAAUGAACCAAGCUACCCCAGGGAUAACAGCGCAAUCUCCUUCAAGAGCCCCUAUCGACAAGGAGGUUUACGACCUCGAUGUUGGAUCAGGACAUCCUAAUGGUGCAGCCGCUAUUAAGGGUUCGUUUGUUCAACGAUUAACAGUCCUACGUGAUCUGAGUUCAGACCGGAGCAAUCCAGGUCGGUUUCUAUCUAUGACACACUCUUCCUAGUACGAAAGGACCGGAAAAGUGAGGCCAAUACCAACCAGCACGCCUCCUCUCUAAUUAGUGAAGCCAGCUAAACUAAGAAGAGAACUCACCCGACCCCAUACCCUAGAAAAGGGCUAGCUAGAGUGGCAGAGCUCGGUAAAUGCAG